Molecule: non-coding RNA, 25 nt
Filed under: Cricetulus griseus (Chinese hamster)
Lineage: Eukaryota; Metazoa; Chordata; Mammalia; Rodentia; Cricetidae
Source: RNAcentral
UUGCUAUACUGUAUAUAUUGUACAU